CCACUGCAGUCCUUAGCUUCUUUUUAGAUAUCGAUUUGCAAGCAUAUUUUUCUCCUCCUUCCAAGUCAGUACAUAGAUAAGUAACCCCAAAUUCUCCUCUUCCGAGCUCAUGCCCCAAAUCAUACUUAUCAUGUAUAUUUUGCCCUGUUGGUUCUUUUAAUACAACUAGCUUGUUUCCACUCCCAGAGGCAUGUUUAGUCCCCCCAUAAUCAAUUGAAAAAGGGUUAGGUUUGCUGUUGUUCUUUUUAUUCUUUUUUUCGGCAGAUUUACCCGGUUUCACACAGCAAUUACCCAUGAUACUUUAUAAGAUCAACCAACUCCUGAAAAUUGUUG
This 333-nucleotide unclassified non-coding RNA is filed under the name Hevea brasiliensis (rubber tree). Lineage: Eukaryota; Viridiplantae; Streptophyta; Magnoliopsida; Malpighiales; Euphorbiaceae. The record is from RNAcentral.